RNAcentral lists this ribosomal RNA (488 nucleotides) under uncultured bacterium. Its description in RNAcentral is "bacterial SSU rRNA". It matches the Rfam family "Bacterial small subunit ribosomal RNA", at positions 37 to 507 of the family's 1533-position model. The record is from RNAcentral.
AUGAACGCGUAGCGGCAGGCUUAACACAUGCAAGUCGAGGGGCAACACGGGGUAGCAAUACCUGGUGGCGACCGGCGCAAGGGUGCGUAACGCGUGAGCAACAUGCCCUAGUACAGGGGGAUAAUACCAGGGAAACUUGGUCUAAUAUCCCAUAGUAUUUAGAGGUGGCAUCACCACUAAAUUAAAGCUUCGGUGGUAUAGGAUUGGCUCGCGUGACAUUAGCUGGAUGGUGGGGUAACGGCUCACCAUGGCGAUGAUGUCUAGGGGUUCUGAGAGGAAGACCCCCCACGACUGGGACUGAGACACGGCCCAGACUCCUACGGGAGGCAGCAGUGAGGAAUAUUGGACAAUGGAUGGAAAUCUGAUCCAGCCAUGCCGCGUGCAGGAAGACGGCCCUAUGGGUUGUAAACUGCUUUUAUAUGGGAGCAAUAAGGUUUACGCGUAGACCGAUGAGAGUACCAUAUGAAUAAGCAUCGGCUAACUCCGUG